GCGGGGCCUCGGACCCCGCCCUCCGCCUUCCCCGGGAUUCCGUGCUGUGCGGGCCGGGCGCUGGCGUUGGAUUGAGUUCUGUGAGUUGACUGGGCAUUCUGCAUCACAAGGUGUGGCUGGGCACUGGAACAGCCGAAGUCACCUGGGAGCUGACUGGGUUGGACUGUCCAGGAUGGUUCACUCCUACGACAGUGGAUGCUCAACUGGGGCUGUCAACUGGAGCCCCCAUAGGUAACAUCUCCCAGCAUGGCAGCUCUGUUCCAAGAGGGAGUGCCGCAUGAGAAUCAGGAAGCAGCUGCAAGGUUCCUCAUGGUUUUGCCUUACAAGACACCCAGAGUUGUUUCAGCCUCAUUCUGUUUGUCAACAGGUCACUGUUUCAAGGAGGAGGGGAACUAGACUCCAGCUCUUGAUGAAAGCAGUGAUAAGGAAUUUGCAGUUCUAGUUGAUCUACUGCAGCUUUCAUGGUGUUUUUUCCAUAUACUGAUUAUAUAAUAGUAUUUGUCACCUUUUGCCAAGCGCCACGUAUUACAAUUAAGUGUCUCUUUAUCUCACAGGCUAGAUUUUCAACUUCUGGUGAGAGAUUGCAUUUUUUUUUUUUUUUUUUUUUUUGAGACAGAGUUUUGCUGUGUCACCCAGGCUAGAGUGCAGCGAUCUCGGCUCACUGCAACCUCCGCUCCCGGGUUCAAGCGAUUCUUCUGCCUCAGCCUCCCGGGUAACUGGGAUUACAGGUGCCUGCCACGCCCGGCUAAUUUUCGUAUUUUUAGUAGAGACAGGGUUUCACCAUCUUGGCCAGGCUGGUCUCGAACUCCUGACCUCAUGAUCCACCCACCUUGGCCUCCCAAAGUGCUGGGAUUACAGGUGUGAGCCACUGCGCCCGGCCGAGAGAUUGCAUUUUAUUUAACCCAAUUCUUUCAGUGACAUAGCUAUAAUAACAAUAAAGAUGUAUUAAGUUCCUCUACCAUGUGUUUGAUCCCAUCUAAUUGAACACAUGAUCUUAUCUCAUCCCUACCCUGAUAGAAUAGACGUCUCAUUUUCCAGAUUGGGAACUGAGGCACAGAAAGAUUCAGCUUUGCCCAAAAACCACAUAAUGGACAAGUGGCAGAGCCAGGAUUUGAACCACUUAAGAGCCUGUGUUUUUAUUCUCUCUCUUCUAGUGCCAUCUCACAGUCUUGGCACCAUCUUAGUAGCUUCAGGCUGCUAUAAAAAGUUACCAUAGGCUGGAUGGCUUAAGCAACAGACAUUUAUUUCUCAUGCUUAUGGAGGCUGGGAAGUUCAGGAUCCAGGUGGAGGCUGACCCCAUGUCUUUCUGGGAGGUCCAGCUGCUCCUGGACCAGAUAGUGCCAACACAAUACUUCUCAUUGUGUUAUGAUUGCCUACAGCAGGUGAAGGCCUGCUUCCUGUUUUCCAGAUGGCCGUCUUCUCAUUGUAUCUUAACAUGGUGGAAGGAGAAUGAGAAAGCUCGCUUGUGUCUCUUUUUAUAAGGGCACUAAUCCAGACGCGGAGGGCUCACCUUUACAACAGCUAAACCUGAUCACCCCCCAGAGGCCCCAUCUCCAAAUACCAUCACAUUGGGGAUUGUGCUUUGACAUAUGAAUGUGGGAGGACACGAGCAUUCAGUCCAUAACAGGCACCAAGGCACCAAGUCAGUCUGCACAAGUGUGUCGCUGGGCAGAAGAACAAAAGAGAAGGAAGAAGAAAGAACACAGUACAGAAAGUGAGUGGCGGUACCACAAAGAGUCAUCAGCAAGUGCUGAUGGUGGCUCCGGCCAGCACAUUCCAAGCAUCCUUGGGUAGCCUGAUAAAUGGAGUGCAGAAUGUUCGGUAGCUCUGCAAGGAGUGGGAGUAUUUAUUGGGUCUGAGUGCUUGAUGCGAAACUUUCCUCCAAAGUUCCAAUUUUCUAUCCGCCAAGAUAAGUGAUGGAGGUUUAUGGUUCAUGUUGUAGCACAUCCACCCAGGCCAAGGACCUACAACUCUGAAUUUCUGGCCUGCCUCCUUCCAGCUAGAAGUGAAUCUAGAUUUACAUGCCAUCAGGAACAAGCAUCGUCUUCCUGUUCUGUGAGUUCCUAGUUGUAGUAGGUACUGCUUUCAUCCUGAGAAUAUCAAUCUACAUGCACAAGGUCCCUCUCUGUGGAGGAGUAGGUACUUAAACCCAAGAUAAGUGGAAACUUUAUAUCCAAGGAGACAGAAAAUAAAAUUUCAGUAUGUUUUAUAUUAAACAACUUAUUAUACUUCUAUCCUUUUAUGAACAUAAGGUCAUCAGUAGGCCAAAAGUCUGAAAACAGUCUCAGUUCCUCAAUGUGAAUGCAAACCAUUAGUGCAAAAAAAAAAAAAAAAUAGAUAAAAUUAAAAAAUGAAAGCACAGAUACUUUCUAGCCUUGCUGUCUUAUAGCCCCAUAUUCAUAGGACUGACCAUUCCCCAUCUAUACCCACACCUUUCCCAAAGGACACUAUCUGUGAAUGGUGGCCACGCGUUUGGAUGUUACAGAGCAAGCACGUUCUUCAUUACUUCACAGACACAAUUAUGCAGCCCACGUGCAUAGUGGAAGUCAGGAAAGCGUCUCCUGGUUGCCUGGUCAGCUGACAUUCUCGAUUCUUUAUAGUCAAUUGAGCCAGUCCUUAGCUCCUAGAAGAGUAAAACGAUACAUCCAUUUAUUAAAAGUACUACUUUAAGACAUUAGAAAGUCUGAAAUGUUGGAACUCUGCCAAGCAAUAGAGAAAUCCUGUGAUGGUUAAUUUUAGGUGUCAACUUGACUGGAUCAGGGGAUACACAGAUAGCUGGUAAAGCAUUAUUUCUGGGUGUGUCUGUGAGCGUGUUUCUGGAGGAGAUUGGCAUUUGAAGCAGUGGACUGAGUGAGGAAGAUCUGCCCUCACACAGUGUGGGUGGCACCAUCUAAUUGGCUGAUGGCCCAGAUAGAACAAAAAGGCAGAGGAGAGACAAUUUUUUUCUCUCUCUUCUGGAGCUGGGGCACCCUUCUUCUCCUGCUUUUGGAAGCAGAAUUCCCAAGUUCUUCAGCUUUUGGACUCCAGGAUCUGAACCGUUGCUUCCCUGGGUUCUCAGACCUGCUGUCUUGGACUGAGAGUAACACCAUCGGCUUCCCUAAUUCUGAGGCCUUCAGCUGGGACUGAGCCACACUACCAGCUGCCCUGGGUCUCCAGCUUGCAAAUGCCUGGCAUGGGACUUCUCAGUUUCCAAAUUGUGUGAGCUGAUUCCCCUAAUCAAUCCCCUCUCAUCUCUGUCUAUCCAUCCAUCCAUCUAUGUUUUGUCUCUCUGGAAAACCCUGUCUAAUAUAAAUCCAUUCUGAAAAUACCAGGUACAGUCAUGUACUACGUAAUAAUGUUUCGGUCAACAACGAACCACAUAUAUGAUGAUGGUCCCGUAAGAUUACCCUAUUUUUACUAUACCUUUUUAUUUAAUAUUUAGAUAUGUUUAGGUACACAAAUACUUCCCAUUGUGUUAUGAUUGCCUAAAGUUUUCAGUUCAAUCACGUGCUAUACAGGUUUGGAGCCUAGGAGCAAUAGGCCACACCAUAUAGCAUAGGUGUGUAGUAGGCUAUACCAUGUAGGUUGGGUAAGUACACUUUGAUGCUCAGAAAAUGGUGAAAUCACCUAAGGAUGCAUUUCUCAGAAUGUAUCCUUGUUAAGUGACACAUGAGUGUGCUUAUGUGUGUAAGGUCAAUAAAAAAUGUCACAGGGGCUUUAUCAAAGGCAGCAUUAUUUUAUAUGGACUAUGGGUCCUAUUGAAUAUUUUUGUCCUCUUCCUUGCCCACCACCCACCCCCAUAAACAUUACCCACAUUGCAGCCAGGGCAAACAUUUAGAAAUUGAAAUCUGAUUUAUGAUCCCUUGUUAAGACAUCCCAAUAAAAGGCUUUUCAGGCUGGGAUUGGUGGCUCAUGCCUGUAAUCCCAGCACUUUGGGAGAAUGAAGCAGGUGAAUUGCUUGAGCCCAGAAGUUUGAGACCAGCCUGAGCAACAAAUUGAGACCCCCAUCGCUACCAAAAAAAAA
This 4003-nucleotide long non-coding RNA is filed under the name Homo sapiens (human). Its description in RNAcentral is "HSALNT0318800". The record is from RNAcentral. Lineage: Eukaryota; Metazoa; Chordata; Mammalia; Primates; Hominidae.